This is a long non-coding RNA of Alexandromys fortis (reed vole), 2684 nucleotides long. RefSeq lists it as uncharacterized. The record is from RefSeq and is a predicted model, not a curated record. Lineage: Eukaryota; Metazoa; Chordata; Mammalia; Rodentia; Cricetidae. The transcript has 3 exons.
GUCAGGGGUCAGCCACCCAGCUACACAGCAAAACAGGGAGUAAGAGUGAAAGUAAGAUUUGCAGAGGUAAGAGAAAGAUACAAGACCAAAGGUAAAAGGUAGAUGCAGUAACAAAAAAAAAAAAAAAGAAAGAAAGAAAAGCUGGCUAGAAACAAGUCAAGCUAUGGCCAGGCAUUUAUAACUAAGAAUAAGCCUCCGUGUCAUAAAAAUAAAAUUCCUGCAGCAACGGAGGAGACCAGGCUCACUCUGAAUACAGAAUGAACAAGUGUAAGUCAAUGGCCAAGGUACAAAAUGGCAGUCAGUGAUGGAAAACUGCUGAGCAGAAUCAUCAUGAUGAUUUACUUCAAAAGGUCAUACGACCCAGUGGUUAUGAAUGACGAGACACAGGCAAACUAUCUCCGUAAGCAACAGGAAAGGGUUUUCCCUCGACUCCUAAUUUCAUGACAAAGCUUUAGACUUCAUGGAGCCUCGUCCCCUGCUCAUCUCAACCAGAAAGCAAACUGCACUAAUAUAAAGUGCAUCAAAUAGCAUCUGUAUGUUUGUGGGACUUUGUGCAAAACAGACCGUAGGAAUCUGAGAGGAAACUAUGGUUAAGUGGAAGAGGAAAGGCAUGCUUGGAAAACACUGUGCUCCUGAGCAAAGAAAACAACAAUUAUGUGAAAAGCCUAUUGUAUUCUGCGCAGAAGUUCUUCCGGAACCGGUCAUUUAGCAUUUCCUAAAAGUCAGCUCUCGAGUGGUUUAAAAUAGAACAGAUGACACAGACUUUCCACCCUGAUGCAGCACACUUUGCCGGUGCGGCCCAGGAAUGCAAGGCCAGGAGCUCAUUUCUGGAUUGUGGUGUUCAGCCAGGUAAAUCUAGACCACCUUGAGUUCUGGGUCUUUGGGUCCAGAUUGUCUGGCUGCCAGUUAGAAGCCUUGGCUCCGCUGCUUGGCCUUAGAGGCCCAGGAGGAAACCACUGGCCAGAGCGACUGCAGGAGGCCAGGGAGCUUUGGGCCUUUGAACCGAGCCUCACUCCCCUAAGAUUUGAAUGACAGCUAGAAUACGAGUUCCACCCUCACCCCCGGUUACAAGGCAUGUGUCCCUGUCCAAUCAACAAUGACAUGAAAACAAGCAAAAAGUUUCCCAUUAAUUUUCAGUCUAAUUAUAAAGAUAUAUUUAAUUCACUGGAAACAAGUAGAAGCUCUAACUCUACAGAGUGGGGGUAACUUUCUCAAUGGCAGCGUCUGAGAAGUGUGGAGCAAUUUGGAGGGAGCUUGCUGGAGACCUGGUUUCAGCUUUGAUCGAGCAGCUUGUUGAACUUCAACAAAGGACCUAACUUCUUUGGGCCCCAAUUUAUGUAUCUUUAAACUGGGUGUGUUUAGGAGCCCCUUUAUUUGCUUUAUCUCAAGAAUGUAUUUUUUUUUAAAAAUCAUAUGCACAUAUGCAUACCUCCUUCAUAAAAUGUUUGGCAAAACAGCUCCGCGAGAUGUUGGUUAGUCCAUGUGGUGCCAUGACAAGCGCUUGAAGCUGUGUAAUUUACAAAGAAAAGAUAUGUAUUGUGGGUUUGAGCUAGGGAAUCUAAGGCCAAGAUGCCUGGAUGUGGUGCCCGGUCAUGGUCUUUCCUGUGUUCAUGUCAGAAGUCAGAAGGGGCAGAGGGAAACUAUCAAGCCCUUCUGCAACAGAACCGUCCAUUCACUAGGGCAGAACCCUGGUGUCCCAAACACUUCCCCAAGUGCCCCACCCCCAACAGUGUUGCAGUGGGGAUUAAGCUUUCGACACCCGAGUUGGGGACAGGACACAUUCAGAACACAGCAGAUAUUAACACAGGACAGCGGGGAAAUGAAGGCUAAGGGAACUCCUUUCUUUCCCCAAUGGCUAAGCUAUGGCGCAAGGUGUGAUCUUGGAGGAUCUCCCCAAGAUGCCACAUAUGCUUCCUACCCAACUUCAACCACCUUUAAUUUGCCAGAAUGUGAACACCUCUAUAUGAGAAAGAUAAGCCUUGCAGGAAGAGUGCAUUGCCUACUUGAACCCUUGACUAAUAUGGGUUAUACUUUGUUAUUCACCUAUACAAUAAUCCCUCUCUUUUGUAGUUCUCAGAGGAACGAUAUAAGAGCACUGAGUCUUACAUGGAUGGAGACGGUGUCUGAAUUUCAUUCUACAGACCAGACUUGUUCAUAAGAACAGUUUGUCUUCCCUAUCUGUGCCCCAUCAAUGGUGGAGAAUGUAACCAGAACAUAGAGUGAUGUAGAUCUGACCUACCACAUGCAAUUCCCUAGGACUGCAGGACAAAUCAGUCAUUAUACCAGUCACCUGACACAGACAAAAAGGCAGCCCCCUUCAUGACUUCUCCAGAAUGACUUAUGGGUACAGACCGGUCCCAUGGCUGUCCCACCCACAGACUGGUUAUUGGGACAUAUUAAGAUCAACAAAUCCCUAUCCAUCAGGACAGAAUGGCUAUUUUUAAAAUCUGCAAAUGUAAACAAUAAGCAAGACCGUUGGUAGCCAACACAAAACAGAGAAGAUACUAGCUGCACCAAGAUUUCAAUGUAGGGUACAUUCUCUAAAACUCAUAAAGAUCCAAGACAGGUCUUGGAUUCAAAAUCACUUCUAUUUCCUGUUCAAUUUUCUAUGGAUGCCUCAACUAGGAAUUCUGCUCUUGGUUUUCUGACAAGUGACCUUCCAAAACAAUGUGAGUUUAUCGAUA